Molecule: non-coding RNA, 671 nt
Organism: Vicugna pacos (alpaca)
Lineage: Eukaryota; Metazoa; Chordata; Mammalia; Artiodactyla; Camelidae
Source: RefSeq, a predicted model, not a curated record
UAAUAUAUUGAGUAUAGAAAUUGUGAAUAGUUUCUGUUUGUGAGAGCUACUGUUCUUAUGAAUUUAAGUUUUUGAUUUUAAUUAUGUGUACAUAUCUUUUAUAUUGAUCUUAAAUAUUCUACAAUUGUCUUGGGCUCCUGAGAAAUGCUACACACUCUCUCACUUCUAGAAGUUGGGCACCUCAGAAGACACAAGAGGAAUUCAGUCACCUUUUCUUGCAACUUCACUGGUAACUGUCUGUGCUUGUACUUGGUGGAACUGAUACAUCUUUCAGAUGGAUGAGGAUUUGCUCCAGCCUCCUGUCUCCAUGAGUGUGUGACAAGCAGCCAGUGCCAUCAGGGAGCUCAGAGUGCCUCCUGUACCUGGUGCAGGUGGAAGGUUAGGUACUAGGAAGCUGCAUCAGACACAUCCCUGUUGCAGGUAGAGAUAUUAUGUAUUUCAUUCAACAGCUGCCAAGGGAGAGGGAGGUGGGAAUCCCUCCUGAGCAACCACUGGAGUCUGCAAAGGCCAUUAAGGCUUCAUUUCCCAAGUAAGGAGCAGACAGCAGCAGCAGUGACUGUGAGGAAUCCUGUGCAGUCAGCCAGAAUUCAAACUCAUUUCCAUCUCUUGCUGUGUAUGAUUCUGUACCCUGAGAAUUACCAGUCAGAGUGAUGCUGUUCUAGGGUGAAUCA